GGUGAAAAGCACCCCGGAAGGGGAGUGAAAUAGAACCUGAAACCGUGUGCUUACAAGUAGUCAGAGCCCGUUAAUGGGUGAUGGCGUGCCUUUUGUAGAAUGAACCGGCGAGUUACGAUUUGAUGCAAGGUUAAGCAGUAAAUGUGGAGCCGUAGCGAAAGCGAGUCUGAAUAGGGCGUUUAGUAUUUGGUCGUAGACCCGAAACCAGGUGAUCUACCCUUGGUCAGGUUGAAGUUCAGGUAACACUGAAUGGAGGACCGAACCGACUUACGUUGAAAAGUGAGCGGAUGAACUGAGGGUAGCGGAGAAAUUCCAAUCGAACCUGGAGAUAGCUGGUUCUCUCCGAAAUAGCUUUAGGGCUAGCCUCAAGUGAUGAUUAUUGGAGGUAGAGCACUGUUUGGACGAGGGGCCCCUCUCGGGUUACCGAAUUCAGACAAACUCCGAAUGCCAAUUAAUUUAACUUGGGAGUCAGAACAUGGGUGAUAAGGUCCGUGUUCGAAAGGGAAACAGCCCAGACCACCAGCUAAGGUCCCAAAAUAUAUGUUAAGUGGAAAAGGAUGUGGCGUUGCCCAGACAACUAGGAUGUUGGCUUAGAAGCAGCCAUCAUUUAAAGAGUGCGUAAUAGCUCACUAGUCGAGUGACACUGCGCCGAAAAUGUACCGGGGCUAAACAUAUUACCGAAGCUGUGGAUUGUCCUUUGGACAA
RNAcentral lists this ribosomal RNA (705 nucleotides) under Staphylococcus aureus. Its description in RNAcentral is "partial 23S ribosomal RNA". It matches the Rfam family "Bacterial large subunit ribosomal RNA", at positions 513 to 1225 of the family's 2925-position model. Lineage: Bacteria; Bacillati; Bacillota; Bacilli; Caryophanales; Staphylococcaceae. The record is from RNAcentral.